This 151-nucleotide ribosomal RNA is filed under the name uncultured Pantoea sp. RNAcentral's name for it is "partial 16S ribosomal RNA". It matches the Rfam family "Bacterial small subunit ribosomal RNA", at positions 383 to 525 of the family's 1533-position model. The record is from RNAcentral. Lineage: Bacteria; Pseudomonadati; Pseudomonadota; Gammaproteobacteria; Enterobacterales; Erwiniaceae.
CUGAUGCAGCCAUGCCGCGUGUAUGAUGAAGGCCUUCGGGUUGUAAAGUACUUUCAGCGCGGAGGAAAGAGCUGUGGCUAAUAACCGAUGCCCAUUGACGUUACCCGCAGAAUAAGCACCGGCUAACUCCGUGCCAGCAGCCGCGGUAAUA